UCAAAGGUGUUUUUCAACACCAUCCAAAAUAUCAAAACAUUUAUA
This is a regulatory RNA element of Dictyostelium purpureum, 45 nucleotides long. It matches the Rfam family "Histone 3' UTR stem-loop". From Rfam's summary of the family: The mRNAs of metazoan histone genes lack a poly-A tail. 3' end processing occurs at a site between a highly conserved stem-loop (modelled by this family) and a purine rich region around 20 nts downstream (the histone downstream element, or HDE). Lineage: Eukaryota; Evosea; Eumycetozoa; Dictyosteliales; Dictyosteliaceae. The record is from Rfam.